UAUUAGAUAUAUUCUUUAAAUUUAAAGAAUUUGGCGGUAAAUUAAUUUUUCAGAGGAACUUGUUAUGUAAUUGAUAUUACACAAUACAUCUUCCCUUAUUUUUUAAUAAGUUUGUAUAUCGUCGUUUAGAAUAUUUUUAUUGAAUAAAUUUUCUAUUAAUAAUAUUAUUAAAAAAUCAGAUUUUGAUGCAGCAUAUAAUAAGGAUUUAAAUGAGUUACAUUUUAGUUAAUAAAUUAUGAAUAAAUUUAAGAAUUUAUAUUUUGAAGGAGGAUUUGAAAGUAAUAAUAUAUUAAUAAGUUGUUAUGAAUUUUUUAUUCUAAUUUAUGU
RNAcentral lists this ribosomal RNA (327 nucleotides) under Ammothella tuberculata. Its description in RNAcentral is "partial 12S ribosomal RNA". Lineage: Eukaryota; Metazoa; Arthropoda; Pycnogonida; Pantopoda; Ammotheidae. The record is from RNAcentral.